AACGAACGCUGGCGGCAGGCCUAACACAUGCAAGUCGAGCGAGGACUUCGGUUCUAGCGGCGGACGGGUGAGUAACGCGUGGGAAUGUGCCCUUCUCUACGGAAUAGCCCUGGGAAACUGGGAGUAAUACCGUAUACUCCCUAUUGGGGAAAGAUUUAUCGGAGAAGGAUCAGCCCGCGUUGGAUUAGGUAGUUGGUGGGGUAAUGGCCUACCAAGCCGACGAUCCAUAGCUGGUUUGAGAGGAUGAUCAGCCACACUGGGACUGAGACACGGCCCAGACUCCGACGGGAAGCAGCAGUGGGGAAUCUUAGACAAUGGGGGCAACCCUGAUCUAGCCAUGCCGCGUGAGUGAUGAAGGCCUUAGGGUUGUAAAGCUCUCUCAGCUGGGAAGAUAAUGACGGUACCAGCAGAAGAAGCCCCGGCUAACUCCGUG
This 433-nucleotide ribosomal RNA is filed under the name uncultured bacterium. RNAcentral describes it as "partial 16S ribosomal RNA". It matches the Rfam family "Bacterial small subunit ribosomal RNA", at positions 29 to 507 of the family's 1533-position model. The record is from RNAcentral.